This is a long non-coding RNA of Rhododendron vialii, 2699 nucleotides long. RefSeq lists it as uncharacterized. The transcript has 4 exons. The record is from RefSeq and is a predicted model, not a curated record. Lineage: Eukaryota; Viridiplantae; Streptophyta; Magnoliopsida; Ericales; Ericaceae.
UAAACCAGAGCUGUGUUUGAAUUCAAAAGACAAUCAACGUUCUAGAUUUACCCUCAUAUCUACAUAAAUCUCUACCCUUCAUUCUACUAUGGCAUUUUUGUAAAUACUUAAUCCAUCCGAGGGUUAUCAUAAAUGGCAUUUUUGUUUGGCAUUUUUGUAAAUACUUAAUCCAUCUGAGGGUAUCAUAAAUGGCAUUUUUGUAAGAAGCCCUAGCCGCACCAUUAUUCGUUCAUCGUUCCUCACUCACCCUCGGUCUUCUCUCUCUCUCUCUCUCUCUCUCUCUCUCUCUCUCUCUCUCUCCGAUCGACCCACUGCACCAUGGCUCCCUCCCUCCCCUCUCUCUCCCUCCGACCCACCGCACCACCGCAAGUCGUCGGAACUCCUCUCUAUCGAGCCUGAUUGGAUACCACUAGCACCACCGACCGGCGCGACAAGUCACCACUGGAACCAUUACUAGCUACCAUUACCGGAUUGUGAAGAGAGUUGGCUAAAUUUGGGUUCGCCUCUGUAAUAUUAUCGGACAAAAAAAAAGUUCCAUUACCUAAGGUGCUCAGGAUUUUACUGAAGAACAGAACACUCAAGCUGCAAGCAAGGGCUGAUGCCUAUCCUUUUUUGUGCGUCAUGAAUAGAAUAAAUUCAAGUCUAGCUCAAGGCCACCAUACAUUUUUCUCCUAUUCUCCACUACCUAAGGUGAGUCGAUCUACUUAAUUUCGUUGGGUUAGUUUCAUGAGGAAUUGUUUGGAAAAUGGUUCUUCACUCAUGCAUAUUUGUGAAGAGUAUCUCAUCAAUGUCCAUUUCUAAGCCUAUCAAUUCAAAAUUUGAUCGCUGGUAUGUGUUAUUUUAGAAGCAUCCCUCUAUUUUUUAUUCUAUUGAAUUGCAACUAUGUCAUCAGUUUUGGGGUUCUUGCUAUAACCCAAGAGCGAAGGUAUACAUUUUUCCUUUCUUCAUGUACACGAUCGAGCAUGUCUGUUAUGAACGUGUAUAAAUGGGAACAUACGACACAGCUUUUUGCUCUUUGUAUAUAGGUAUAAAUUACCUGAUCACAAUCCUCUCAGCAUCAAAAGUCUCAAUUGUUGCGUUAUUGCUAGGGCUUUCCCAUUCAUUGUGGGAGUUGGACCAUAUUCGUGUAGUCAUAUUCCCUUUGUUCAGGAGAUUAGAUAAAAUCUUUUACUACGGGUUGUUGAUGAAGGGGGAUUGAUGAAGCUGAGGUUUUACUAUGAGAGGAUGGGCGGAGAAGGGAUUUAGAGGUUUGUGACGGGUAGUAAGGAGUUGGAGGGGAUUAGGGCUCAUAUUGAUGAUUGAGUACUCACCACCUGUUCGUAAAAAGGCCACAUUGAGACAAUUGAUGGUAAAAAAAAAAAUGGGAGCAACAAGCUCUGAUCUCAAACUUUUCUCACUUUUUAAGAUGGAACAAAUGUGACUUUGAUUGGUUUGAGGGUCCAUAGUUAGUUGUUCAAGAACUGAUGUAUUGUUUGGAGGUGAAACCAUAUUUGGUAUUUGGUAGUAUAUUCGUUCCUAUGUAUUACACUCUCUUCAUGCCUUUUGCUGUCCCUUUUAGGUAUCAACGUGCUCUUGAACAUAAUGUGUACAUUGGUUGGAAUGGUAAUGAUUCUAAUGAAAAUUACUUCUCAACGGGAUAGAUUUUGGUUGGGGAAAGGAAGAACACUUAGCAAUCUUCAAUUUAAAAUUCCUAUAAGCACGGGGAUUUUGUUGCCUAAAUCCCACCACAAUAUAGUGGAACUAAAAUGUUUACUUGAACUAAACUCAACUUUAUAAAUUGGUCAUUGCACCCUAUUAUUGUUGCAACUUGCAACUUGCAAUUCCUUUUAUUUUCAUACAGUUUAAUGGGUUUCUGUUCAAUUUCUCGGAGCUAAUGUAAUAACAACAAUAGUGGUUGGGAUUUUCAUUAGUUUUUUGUGCGUUCACGUCCAUUUAUUUGCUUAGUGUUUUGCUAGGAUAAAGGGGUGCAAAUGCUUAAAGACUAUAUUUCUAAAUAUUAUGGGAGCUCAUACGUGUUCAUUAUUCCUGCUCCAACAACUAGGAGUCUUGACCAUGGUGCCUCUGUGGUGACUUUCGGUUUAAAAGUUGAUUGGUCAGAAGAGUAUUGACACCUUUCCAAAAGUAAAAAACGAUUACAAAGAUUGUAGGAGUGAUAAGUCGUUCUUUUUCUUCAUUGUCAUUCCUAGAUUGUACAUAAACCAGUCCAUAUUAUGUGAUGAAUUUAAUAAUUCUUAAUCUUAUUUAUGUAGGAAUGUCGAGGACCGGCAAAUGAACAAUGAAGUCGUCAUGAUAAGAGCUUUGUUAAUAGAUUGGGAAUUUCAUAAGGAAUUUUUAUUUGUUAGGUUAAGUUUUACAAAUAUAUAUUCGGUUUUAUUACGUGUGUUGGGUGAUUUAAGGAUUUGGGAAAUUUUUUACCUGCUUGAAUAUUUUUUGCACCUUGAUUUGACCUGCACAUAUAUAUCGUAUUUUAUUUUGUUCCUACCUAUUUUUUUCAACAUGUCCUCCCUUUGCUCAUUGUUCGACCUAUAGCUUUAGUUGUCUUCAAAAUGUGUUGCGUCGUGCCUUCAGGCACGGGCAUUCACUAGUUAUAAAAAAUGACUCGACAGUUACCUUUGCAAUCUAUACUUUUGAUGUACUUGAUAAUCAACUAAGCCUUAUGUUGUAUUCAUUGUUAUAGUAGCCACACGAUUGCAAGACAA